AUGGGACGCCGAGCACACGCCGUUCCGGCGGCCGCGGCGGCAGCGCUGCUGCUCGCCCUCCUCCAUCUGCACGCGGCCGCGGCCGCCGACCCGCCCUUCUCCUGCGGCGCGGCGUCGGCCGCGCCGUACUGCGACCGGAAGCUGCCGGUCGAGCGGCGGGCGGCGGACCUGGUGUCGAGGCUGUCGCUGGAGGAGAAGAUCUCGCAGCUGGGCGACGAGUCGCCGGCGGUGGCCCGGCUGGGCGUGCCGGCGUACAAGUGGUGGUCGGAGGCGCUGCACGGGGUGGCGUGGAGCAAGGGCAUAUGA
RNAcentral lists this ribosomal RNA (306 nucleotides) under Triticum aestivum (bread wheat). Its description in RNAcentral is "partial small subunit ribosomal RNA". The record is from RNAcentral. Lineage: Eukaryota; Viridiplantae; Streptophyta; Magnoliopsida; Poales; Poaceae.